RNAcentral lists this ribosomal RNA (1372 nucleotides) under uncultured bacterium. RNAcentral describes it as "bacterial SSU rRNA". It matches the Rfam family "Bacterial small subunit ribosomal RNA", at positions 28 to 1381 of the family's 1533-position model. The record is from RNAcentral.
GAUGAACGCUGGCGGCGUGCCUAAUACAUGCAAGUCGAGCGAACGGACGAGAAGCUUGCUUUUCUGAUGUUAGCGGCGGACGGGUGAGUAACACGUGGAUAACCUACCUAUAAGACUGGGAUAACUUCGGGAAACCGGAGCUAAUACCGGAUAAUAUUUUGAACCGCAUGGUUCAAAAGUGAAAGACGGUCUUGCUGUCACUUAUAGAUGGAUCCGCGCUGCAUUAGCUAGUUGGUAAGGUAACGGCUUACCAAGGCAACGAUGCAUAGCCGACCUGAGAGGGUGAUCGGCCACACUGGAACUGAGACACGGUCCAGACUCCUACGGGAGGCAGCAGUAGGGAAUCUUCCGCAAUGGGCGAAAGCCUGACGGAGCAACGCCGCGUGAGUGAUGAAGGUCUUCGGAUCGUAAAACUCUGUUAUUAGGGAAGAACAUAUGUGUAAGUAACUGUGCACAUCUUGACGGUACCUAAUCAGAAAGCCACGGCUAACUACGUGCCAGCAGCCGCGGUAAUACGUAGGUGGCAAGCGUUAUCCGGAAUUAUUGGGCGUAAAGCGCGCGUAGGCGGUUUUUUAAGUCUGAUGUGAAAGCCCACGGCUCAACCGUGGAGGGUCAUUGGAAACUGGAAAACUUGAGUGCAGAAGAGGAAAGUGGAAUUCCAUGUGUAGCGGUGAAAUGCGCAGAGAUAUGGAGGAACACCAGUGGCGAAGGCGACUUUCUGGUCUGUAACUGACGCUGAUGUGCGAAAGCGUGGGGAUCAAACAGGAUUAGAUACCCUGGUAGUCCACGCCGUAAACGAUGAGUGCUAAGUGUUAGGGGGUUUCCGCCCCUUAGUGCUGCAGCUAACGCAUUAAGCACUCCGCCUGGGGAGUACGACCGCAAGGUUGAAACUCAAAGGAAUUGACGGGGACCCGCACAAGCGGUGGAGCAUGUGGUUUAAUUCGAGGCAACGCGAAGAACCUUACCAAAUCUUGACAUCCUUUGACAACUCUAGAGAUAGAGCCUUCCCCUUCGGGGGACAAAGUGACAGGUGGUGCAUGGUUGUCGUCAGCUCGUGUCGUGAGAUGUUGGGUUAAGUCCCGCAACGAGCGCAACCCUUAAGCUUAGUUGCCAUCAUUAAGUUGGGCACUCUAAGUUGACUGCCGGUGACAAACCGGAGGAAGGUGGGGAUGACGUCAAAUCAUCAUGCCCCUUAUGAUUUGGGCUACACACGUGCUACAAUGGACAAUACAAAGGGCAGCGAAACCGCGAGGUCAAGCAAAUCCCAUAAAGUUGUUCUCAGUUCGGAUUGUAGUCUGCAACUCGACUACAUGAAGCUGGAAUCGCUAGUAAUCGUAGAUCAGCAUGCUACGGUGAAUACGUUCCCGGGUCU